This 253-nucleotide ribosomal RNA is filed under the name uncultured bacterium. RNAcentral describes it as "partial 16S ribosomal RNA". It matches the Rfam family "Bacterial small subunit ribosomal RNA", at positions 524 to 776 of the family's 1533-position model. The record is from RNAcentral.
UACGUAGGUGGCAAGCGUUGUCCGGAUUUAUUGGGUUUAAAGGGUGCGUAGGCGGUCUUAUAAGUCAGUGCUGAAAUAUCCCGGCUUAACCGGGAGGGUGGCAUUGAUACUGUAGGACUUGAGUAGAGUUGAGGUUGGCGGAAUUGACGGUGUAGCGGUGAAAUGCUUAGAUAUCGUCAAGAACACCGAUAGUGAAGACAGCUAACUAGGCUCUAACUGACGCUGAGGCACGAAAGUGUGGGGAUCAAACAGG